RNAcentral lists this long non-coding RNA (509 nucleotides) under Hordeum vulgare. RNAcentral describes it as "long non-coding RNA (HVUL_LNC003166)". Lineage: Eukaryota; Viridiplantae; Streptophyta; Magnoliopsida; Poales; Poaceae. The record is from RNAcentral.
CUCCUCCAACGCGAGCACGCCGGCCAACGCUGCCCAGAUGGAGGCAGCCUGCCUCCUCCCGGUCCAAGCACGAUGCCCGUGGCGCCCAGAUGGAGGCGACCUCCUCCUCCUGACCGAGCACCGCGACGGCGACUGCCACAUGAAGGGGUCCUCCAACGCGAGCACCGCGGCUGGCGGCGGACAGAUGGAGGCGGCCUCCCUCCUCCAACGCUAGCACGACGACCAGCGCUACCAGGCGACCUGCCUCCUCCUGAUCCAAGCACGGCGCCCGCGGCGGCCAGAUGGAGGCGACCUCCUCCUCCUGAUCGAGCACAGCGACGCCGGCGGCCACAUAGAGGGGUCCUCCCUCCUCCCGCUGGAGCACGACAGUCGUCUUGUCAUCCUCCGCCGCGUCUGUAGCCAACGUCGCCUCACCUGUGCCUAGAUAAGACAAGAUUGGGAGUGGGACGUGUUUGUGUGGCGGCGGUUUGUUAUUUUAGCCACGAUGGGUGGGAUCGUGGGCUAGUUUU